This 1017-nucleotide long non-coding RNA is filed under the name Ricinus communis (castor bean). RNAcentral describes it as "long non-coding RNA (RCOM_LNC000798)". The record is from RNAcentral. Lineage: Eukaryota; Viridiplantae; Streptophyta; Magnoliopsida; Malpighiales; Euphorbiaceae.
UUUUCCUUUUCCUCUGGGAGUAAGAGUUUAGUUUCAUUAUGACAACUAAAAUCCUAAAAUUAUUCCAAUAAGCACUAUGAACUUCAAUCGAGACUAGAACUCUUGGGAAUUGCUCUAUAAAUAAGAUCUCAUCUACCUUAUUUUUAGAUUUUUCAUUCUUUCUGCUUCUCUAAUAGCCAUGAGUAUUCAAGAAAACCAGGUGCAUGAUGUUCCUUCUUCACCUUCAUCAUCACUACCUAAAUCUAGACAUAGGUCAAGAUUAUCCACACCACACCCAGAUAGAUUUGUGAAGCAGGGUUUCUCCUUACCUCGUUCAACAUCCAUUAAAAGAUGGGCAUCAUUCUAUAGGAAAAGAAAACCAUGGAUCCAAGACCGAAGGAGUUUACUGCAAUAUUAGCUUAUCAAAUAGCAUAUCCCAAAACCCAUAAACAAGUCUAUACUUUAAAGAAAAUAGUGGAGAAUGAGCGUCGUGAAAGUGCUUACUAAGAGAGAUAUUUGUACGAAGAUAACACUUUGGAUGAAGAUCCAAAAUCUGAUGCAAAUAUAGAGAGUGAUCCUAGCGAACCUAGUGAUUGGGAAGGUCGAGAAGCCACCCCACUUACCCUAAGACCUUGAGGUCAUCCUAGGAAGCGUGAUUGUGUCAUCUCGACACCAAAAGAGGACAAGAACAUCCAAGAAAAGUUCUGCAGCCUCCUAAAGUUAAGAGAGGGAGAGGACGCUCAAGGAAGCCAUUCUUUUGGUCUUUUAGUUAGUUGAUUGUUAUUUAGUUUCGUUUAGGAUUUAGAGUCGAGUUGUUUUAGUUUUGAUUAGUUCUUUAUAUUUAAUGAUAAGUUUAAUUUCUUUCAAUUUAAAUUUUAUUUGGUAUUUAAACAUGUUUAUGUGCAUUUUCAUUUGUCAAUUUUAUUUAUGAUUGAAUAAGGCAUAUGCAAGUUAGUUGCAUGAUUCCUUUCAAAAGAAAAAUGUGAAUAUACAUAAUAUUAUGCGCCACACAGGGAGCCACACGGCCGUGUCUCUUCC